AGGGUUCGAUUCUGGCUCAGAACGAACGCUGGCGGCAGGCCUAAAACAUGCAAGUUGAACGGUUGUAGCAAUACAGCAGUAGCGGACGGGUGAGGAACAUAUGGGAACGUGCCCUUUGGUGUGGAAUAACAUCUGGAAACGGGUGAUAAUACCGCAUAAGCCCUGCGGGGGAAAGAUUUAUCGCCGAAGGAGCGGCCCAUAUCAGAUUAGCUAGUUGGUUAGGUAACGGCUGACCAAGGCGACGAUCUGUAGCCGGUUUGAGAGGAUGAUCGGCCACACUGGGACUGAGACACGGCCCAGACUCCUACGGGAGGCAGCAGUUAGGAAUAUUGGACAAUGGGGGAAACCUUGAAUCCAGCCAUGCCGCGUGAGUGAAGAAGGCCUUCGGGUUGUAAAGCUCUUUUGUAUGGGAAAAAGAUGAUGGUACCAUAAGAAUAAGCACCGGCAAACUUCGUGCCAGCCGCGGC
Molecule: ribosomal RNA, 467 nt
Filed under: uncultured bacterium
Lineage: Bacteria
Description: bacterial SSU rRNA
Rfam family: Bacterial small subunit ribosomal RNA
Source: RNAcentral